This 781-nucleotide long non-coding RNA is filed under the name Chrysolophus pictus (golden pheasant). Its description in RNAcentral is "lncRNA (ENSCPIG00010013580.1)". The record is from RNAcentral. Lineage: Eukaryota; Metazoa; Chordata; Aves; Galliformes; Phasianidae.
CAUACACCUUUAAAUAGUGAUAAGGAGAAUAUUAUUACCCCGCUGGUGGCCUAGUCAGAUAAGUUGUUUGUGGAGGACAGCCCGCAUUUCUUUCAAGCUCUCAUUCUGCUGCACCAGUAACUCCAGAUUACAUUCCCAGGGAAAUCAGCCGCCUCUUACUUGAAACUGCAAAGAGCAAUGGACAGUUUAGGGAGAGACCACGACUAUUCCAACACUUCUCUGCCUUCCUCCACAGCUCAAGAGAAGAACGCUGAGCCAGGUUCCACCAUGUUGUCCCGCUUGAGAGACCGGGAGCUGCUCCGGAAGAGAAGGGCAGAAGCCGAGGAGAAGGAUUCAAUUCAGUGGGCUCUGGGGGAGCACGAGAGAAGCAAACGGCAGAGGAGAGGUCAAGGUGCCAGGCGAGGAAAGGGCCGUGAGCACGCCGUGGAGCCGGCGCCGCAGCCAAAACCGAAGCCAAACCCUCAGCCCCCGAAGAAGGAGGAAGCUGAGCCGGUGUCCUCCACGGUGAUGCAGCAAGCCGAGUCAUCCCAGAUGGACAUGCAGGACCUGUUUGCUGGUGUGCAGCUGGCAGAUCUGGAAGGGAUACUGGCUUCUGGGAGCCAGAGUCCUCUGGGUGAAGAGGAUAUGCUGAAGCUGGCCGAUGAAAUACAAGAGGUACUGAAUACUUCACUGGAAAAGAACGAAUCCGAUAAUGACAUGUACCCAUCCAGCCUAUUUUAAAGUUUUAUUUAAUUAGAUAAGUAUUCUUGCAAUUUUUAUGACUAAGAAAUACUGACAGGCC